RNAcentral lists this ribosomal RNA (543 nucleotides) under Bifidobacterium adolescentis. Its description in RNAcentral is "bacterial SSU rRNA". It matches the Rfam family "Bacterial small subunit ribosomal RNA", at positions 158 to 711 of the family's 1533-position model. The record is from RNAcentral. Lineage: Bacteria; Bacillati; Actinomycetota; Actinomycetes; Bifidobacteriales; Bifidobacteriaceae.
GGGUGGUAAUGCCGGAUGCUCCAGUUGGACGCAUGUCCUUUUGGGAAAGAUUCAUCGGUAUGGGAUGGGGUCGCGUCCUAUCAGCUUGAUGGCGGGGUAACGGCCCACCAUGGCUUCGACGGGUAGCCGGCCUGAGAGGGCGACCGGCCACAUUGGGACUGAGAUACGGCCCAGACUCCUACGGGAGGCAGCAGUGGGGAAUAUUGCACAAUGGGCGCAAGCCUGAUGCAGCGACGCCGCGUGCGGGAUGACGGCCUUCGGGUUGUAAACCGCUUUUGACUGGGAGCAAGCCCUUCGGGGUGAGUGUACCUUUCGAAUAAGCACCGGCUAACUACGUGCCAGCAGCCGCGGUAAUACGUAGGGUGCAAGCGUUAUCCGGAAUUAUUGGGCGUAAAGGGCUCGUAGGCGGUUCGUCGCGUCCGGUGUGAAAGUCCAUCGCUUAACGGUGGAUCCGCGCCGGGUACGGGCGGGCUUGAGUGCGGUAGGGGAGACUGGAAUUCCCGGUGUAACGGUGGAAUGUGUAGAUAUCGGAAAAGAACACCA